This 146-nucleotide microRNA precursor is filed under the name Gossypium hirsutum (cotton). RNAcentral's name for it is "MIR7502 microRNA precursor family". It matches the Rfam family "MIR7502 microRNA precursor family". Lineage: Eukaryota; Viridiplantae; Streptophyta; Magnoliopsida; Malvales; Malvaceae. The record is from Rfam by way of RNAcentral.
UUUUUAAAAUUUUAUUCAUUUCUAUUAUUAAAAAUUAACAUGAUUAAUAGAAUAAUUAGACAAACACAUAUGGUGUGUUAUAUAUAACUUACACUAACUUAUAGGAAUUAGUUUUUAAUAGUAAAAAAUAGAUGAAAUUUUUAACA